GGCUGCACGAAGGGCAUGCUUGCAUGACUCUGAGUGCAGACAUCAGACGGCAAUGACGACAUGAGCAAGAAGGCCGGCAGGCCGGAUUGCGAAUAUCGGCAUCGAUCGCGGGAGCGCAAAGCGCGGAGCGAUCGGUGU
Molecule: small RNA, 138 nt
Filed under: bovine gut metagenome
Description: Clostridiales-1 RNA
Rfam family: Clostridiales-1 RNA
Source: RNAcentral